UAAGGAAUAUUGGUCAAUGGACGAAAGUCUGAACCAGCCAUGCCGCGUGGAGGAUGAAGGCCCUCUGGGUUGUAAACUUCUUUUAUUUGGGAAGAAAUCUGUGUUUUCUAACGCAGUUGACGGUACCAGAUGAAUAAGCACCGGCUAACUCCGUGCCAGCAGCCGCGGUAAUACGGAGGGUGCAAGCGUUAUCCGGAUUCACUGGGUUUAAAGGGUGCGUAGGCGGGCAGGUAAGUCAGUGGUGAAAUCUUCGAGCUCAACUCGGAAACUGCCGUUGAUACUAUCUGUCUUGAAUAUCGUGGAGGUGAGCGGAAUAUGUCAUGUAGCGGUGAAAUGCUUAGAGAUGACAUAGAACACCGAUUGCGAAGGCAGCUCACUACACGAACAUUGACGCUGAGGCACGAAAGCGUGGGGAUCAAACAGGAUUAGAUACCCGCGUAGUCC
Molecule: ribosomal RNA, 444 nt
Filed under: uncultured bacterium
Lineage: Bacteria
Description: bacterial SSU rRNA
Rfam family: Bacterial small subunit ribosomal RNA
Source: RNAcentral